GUGGGGAAUCUUCCGCAAUGGACGAAAGUCUGACGGAGCAACGCCGCGUGAACGAUGACGGCCUUCGGGUUGUAAAGUUCUGUUAUACGGGACGAAUGGUACGACGGCCAAUACCCGUCGUAAGUGACGGUACCGUAAGAGAAAGCCACGGCUAACUACGUGCCAGCAGCCGCGGUAAUACGUAGGUGGCAAGCGUUGUCCGGAAUUAUUGGGCGUAAAGGGCGCGCAGGCGGCGUCGUAAGUCGGUCUUAAAAGUGCGGGGCUUAACCCCGUGAGGGGACCGAAACUGCGAUGCUAGAGUAUCGGAGAGGAAAGCGGAAUUCCUAGUGUAGCGGUGAAAUGCGUAGAUAUUAGGAGGAACACCAGUGGCGAAAGCGGCUUUCUGGACGACAACUGACGCUGAGGCGCGAAAGCCAGGGGAGCAAACGGGAUUAGAAACCCCUGUAGUCC
RNAcentral lists this ribosomal RNA (450 nucleotides) under uncultured bacterium. Its description in RNAcentral is "partial 16S ribosomal RNA". It matches the Rfam family "Bacterial small subunit ribosomal RNA", at positions 354 to 796 of the family's 1533-position model. The record is from RNAcentral.